This 287-nucleotide ribosomal RNA is filed under the name uncultured bacterium. Its description in RNAcentral is "partial 16S ribosomal RNA". It matches the Rfam family "Bacterial small subunit ribosomal RNA", at positions 773 to 1060 of the family's 1533-position model. The record is from RNAcentral.
GUGGAUUAGAUACCCUGGUAGUCCACGCCGUAAACGUUGGGCACUAGGUGUGGGUUUCAACCAACGAGAUCCGCGCCGUCGCUAACGCAUUAAGUGCCCCGCCUGGGGAGUACGGCCGCAAGGUUAAAACUCAAAGGAAUUGACGGGGGCCCGCACAAGCAGCGGAGCGUGUUGCUUAAUUCGAUGCAACGCGAAGAACCUCACCUGGGCUUGACAUGUACGGAAAAGCCGUAGAGAUACGGUGUCCUUCGGGGCCGUACACAGGUGGUGCACGGCCGUCGCCAACU